CGUAAUAACUCCGUUUUCGGCGUAAUUAGGAAUGAUAGAGAUCCGCCCCAUGCCUGGGGGGACAGGAGUGUGCAGGAUCCCUUUGGUUGGCACGCGGGAUGGUGUGCGGAGGGCGUGCAUUGGUGUCGCCUGCGGGCAGUUGAGGGAGAGACUUGGGCAGCAUCUCCAUGAUGUUGCAUCUGGGAGGGCGUCUGCUGCACUCAGCGGCGCGGCGCUUCAGAGGGGCAUCGACGUCCUGUGGAGCCGGGCCGCUGUUUUGGAGAGUAGCAUCGGGAGAGACUGUAUUUGCGAAAAGUGGCA
RNAcentral lists this long non-coding RNA (300 nucleotides) under Androctonus crassicauda. The record is from RNAcentral. Lineage: Eukaryota; Metazoa; Arthropoda; Arachnida; Scorpiones; Buthidae.